RNAcentral lists this long non-coding RNA (377 nucleotides) under Homo sapiens (human). RNAcentral describes it as "non-protein coding lnc-TM4SF1-2:1". The record is from RNAcentral. Lineage: Eukaryota; Metazoa; Chordata; Mammalia; Primates; Hominidae.
AUGCUGCCCAAGGACGACAGGAAGAAGAAAGACACUGGAAAGUCAGACAAGAAAGACAGAGACCCAAUGAACAAAUCUGGUGGCAAGGACAGAAAGAAGAAGUGGUCCAAAGGCAAAGUUUGGGACAAGCUCAAUAACCUAGUCUUGUUUGACAAAGCUACAUAUGACAUACUCAGUAAGAAAGUCCCAACAGUAAGCUUAUAACCCCAACUGAGGUCUCUGAGAGACUGAAAAUUAAAAGUUGUCUGUCCAGGGCAGCCUUUCAGGAGCUGUUUAGUAACAGACUUAUCAAACUAGUUUCAGUGCACAGAGCUCAAAUAAUUUACACCAGAAACACCUAGUGCGGAGGUGCUCCAGCUUCUGGUGAAGAUGCAGGA